Helianthus annuus (common sunflower) is the source of this 746-nucleotide long non-coding RNA. RefSeq lists it as uncharacterized. Lineage: Eukaryota; Viridiplantae; Streptophyta; Magnoliopsida; Asterales; Asteraceae. The transcript is spliced from 4 exons. The record is from RefSeq and is a predicted model, not a curated record.
AUCCCCCUCCGAAUAUGUAGUCAAUCGAACAAGCAAAUGAAACGGUGGGAGCAAUUAAUUAUGGUUAGAAUGAUUUUGUCACCCUCAUCGAUGCAGUAGUGAAUGCUAAUUUUAAUUCUCCAUUGAAUGCAACAAUUGAAGCAUUUGUGCGUUUCCAUCCCACCCACUGAAUUUUAGGUAUAUUUAUGUACUUCCCACACAUAUAAGAUGCGAUACAGAGAUGUAUAUCAAAAGUUCGAUGGUUCAAUGGGGUUACGACGACAGCCGAAUUCAAUAAAUGCAUAAUUAAACCAAAACGGUUUCAGGAUUUAAUCAUAACCAUAUGAUGGGAUGGAUCAAGAACAUUUAUAUCUUUAGUCUCUGUUGGGUGCGCAAGUUUGGAGUCUGACAGAGGCUGAAUUCCAAUCGCAGGUGAGAUGGGAGUGAAGAAUGAUCUGAGUUGGUGGGCUUCACCUUCAGUCGUUGACCAUGUUAGUGAGGCUGGGGGAGGUUAUUAAGGAAUGCGAGGAGGUUGUGGGUUGAAGAACCCUGGUUUUUAAAGAGCUUAUCAAAGAUUAGCUUCUCUAUAUCUCAGGUUACCCAACAUUCAUAUUUUAAAGUAAUUUCAUGUGUUGAACAGAAAAAUCGUGUACAAUGAGAUUGAGAUAUCUAUGGUAUGCUCCUCAAAUCAGAACCGAAGCAUGGAAGCUCACUUUCUGCUAAAGAGGGAAGGUUUUGAUGUUUGUUCAUAUGGAACAGGGACCCAU